This 508-nucleotide ribosomal RNA is filed under the name uncultured bacterium. RNAcentral describes it as "partial 16S ribosomal RNA". It matches the Rfam family "Bacterial small subunit ribosomal RNA", at positions 28 to 523 of the family's 1533-position model. The record is from RNAcentral.
GAUGAACGCUAGCGGCAGGCUUAAUACAUGCAAGUCGAGGGGCAGCAGGUCCCGCAGCAAUGCGGGAUGCUGGCGACCGGCAAACGGGUGCGGAACACGUACAGAACCUUCCUUUAAGUGGGGAAUAGCCCGGGGAAACCCGGAUUAAUACCCCGUAACAUAAUGAAGUGGCAUCACUUUAUUAUUAUAGCAGCAAUGCGCUUGAAGAUGGCUGUUCGGCUGAUUAGGUAGUUGGCGGGGUAACGGCCCACCAAGCCUACGAACAGUAACUGGAGGGAGAGCACGACCAGGCACACGGGCACUGAGACACGGGCCCGACUCCUACGGGAGGCAGCAGUAAGGAAUAUUGGGCAAUGGACGCAAGUCUGACCCAGCCAUGCCGCGUGGAGGAUGAAGGGCCUCUGGAUUGUAAACUUCUUUUAUCUGGGAAGAAAUCUAUUUUUUCUAAAGUAGUUGACGGUACCAGAUGAAUAAGCACCGGCUAACUCCGUGCCAGCCGCCGCCGUAA